CAGACCGGCCCCUUACAACCGCGAUACCGAAAUUUUACUGCUUGAUUGAAAGCAUCCCGCUCGCGCAUACAGAAUUGGAAAUGUUUUUGCUUCUUUUUCUACAGCUCAAGCGGGAUGCCACCAAUGCCACUCAUACAUCGCGGUUAUUAGAGUGAGACAGUUGCGCUGAGAAACGGACGAUCGGAAUUUGACGUUUGUAUUGACAUCGAAACUGAUUUACAGUUUUCGGUUGUUUUUUACCGAAAAUUUACGGCAAAGCGAUUUGUUUACAUAAAAAUACAAGAACUUCGGUACAACAUGAAUCGAAUUACCGAACUCGGUAAAAAUAAGACGUCAGAUUGAUCAUUUACCGAAAAUUUUCGAAUUACAGAACAGUUUCUGUAAACUAAAUUACCGAACUCGGUAAUUUUGGUUUACUGUGUACGUCAUGGUAGCCUUAAACUGUUCGCAGAUGAUUCCGUCUCCUACUGGAGUGGUAAAGACUUAGAGCUCGUGGUGUCAAAGGCAAAUUCAGAUUUGAGAAACAUUGCAGAGUUUUUAAAGCAUAGAAAACUGUGCCUUAAUUUAAAUAAAACCAGCUGGAUGAUUAUUGGAAAUCGACAGAUUGGAGUUUGUCCAGAAUUGUUAAUUGAUGGUUGUGUCGUCGAAAAAGUACGUCAGGUUAAAUACUUAGGAGUACAAGUCGACGAAAAACUAAAUUUCAUAGCUCACAUCGACUACAUCAUAAAGAAAAUUGCCAUUAAAUAUGGUGUACUUUGUCGAAUAAAUAGAUAUAUGACUUUUUGGUCCAAAAUAACUUACGUGAAAUCUGUUAUUAUGCCACAUUUUGAUUAUUGUGCUACGAUAUUGCUUCAUGCAUCAGAAACACAAACAAAGCGGCUGCAAAGAAUACAAAACAAAAUAAUGCGAGUAGUUAUACGAUGCAACAGAUAUACUCCUAGUGCUUUAAUGCUUGAUAUGCUGCAAUGGUUGUCAGUUAAGCAGAGGAUUGCGUAUAACAGCUUGAUUUUUAUCUACAAAAUGAUUAAAGGAUUGCUUCCAGCUUAUCUAUCAGACGGUCUGCAGUACGGAAUUGAUGUACACGGAUACAAUACAAGAAGAGCACAUGAUUUUAGAUUACCAAACUCGAAAAAAGAGAUGACAAAACGUUCUGUGUUCUAUAACGGACUGAAAAUGUAUAACAACCUACCAAGAAGCAUCAAAGACAGCCCAAACUUAAACACUUUUAAGAACCUGGCAAUAAAUUACGUGAAACAGAAAAUUUGAAAAAAGGACUAAUCCUAAAAAGGAUAAUACAAUAGUGAUGAAGAUCUGACGAAGCAUCAGAUAGAAAUUGUACGGUGAUGGACAUACGCGGGAGUAAGACGAAUAAGUCGUACAGAAAUUGAUAAAAUAAAGUAAACAAUACGAAUUAUCCUAAGGAUAAACUGUCCCUCCCACUUCUAAAGAUGCGUAUGGGGUGGAGGAAGGACCCAAAUGGGCCCGUGGGACCAUCACGAAAAAAAAAAAAAGAAGGCCAUUACAAUCUGGAGUGCAAGCAGAGUCAUCAACGGCCGAAAAUUUCAACAGUUUAUAAAAUGUUCAAGAAUGAUGAUUCGAGAAGACCAAAAUAAAAUCUUAGGAAAACCGCGGAACACCGGAAACAAAAUGUAGAAGGAACCUUCAUCACGUUUGGUUUUGGCAUAUAGUUCCUGAUACAGUAUUAAUGACAAAAAUGAAGACAAAAAUAUUUUAUGUGAAAAAAAAUAACAGUGAUGAAUAAAUAAACCAGCAUUUUAAAAAUUUGAAUUAUUUCAUUGAAUGCAUGGAUAAAUUACCAUAGUUUUGUCUUAAAUACCAUGGCAUAGUAAAAUUGACCGUCAUUCUACCAUAACGCACCAUAACACGUUCCCAUGGUAAUUUUAACUAAUCUGUUGUUCAAGAUAACCAAAAACGUACUCGAAAAAAAACCAUCUGUUUUUAUUUUUAAAUUUACCCUCGGAUAUGGUAACGGUUACCAUGAUUUUUUUUUCGGUGUAGUGAUAGACGACCAUGUAGUAUGCUUUGAAAUAUAACGUUGCUACUGUAACAAUUGUGCAGCCUGCAGUUCAUAUUGGAUAUGAUACAGAUCAACCCGGUUGUUACAGCAAUUUCUCGCACACAGACCUUUUCUCAAUCAUGGAAGUCGUCACUAGUGGGUUUGUUUCUAUGUCUCGAAACAAUUCGAUUUGGGUCGAAGACGCAUCUUUGGUAAACCUUAUGCAAAAGAACAUGUCCAUCACAGAUGCUAAAUGGAUUGAUCACUGGUACGGUGGCUUAGUUCCCUGGUGGUAUGUCUAGGCGAUACUCAUCAAAUUCGGAGGCACCGUUGAACUGAAGACAAAAACGCCUACGAUUCGCCAAUUGCACGGAGAUAAAGGGUGGAACGACGAGUUCGGGUACCAUAUAAAAACAGACAAGUCGGCCGCAUCUGACAUGGCAAUACUGUCAAGUGCUUUGUGCUAUGAGAAAAAAGUCCAAAGAAAGAGAAUGCCUUAUUUCACCAUACGAACCCCAAACAAAAAUAGUCGCGAGAUGGAUGUGCAUUGGACUGGAUGGUAUUACAAUUAUGUGAACGAUCUUUCCAAAAAAGGGAUUCGAUCAGGGAGGGCGGUGUCAAUUCCAGAAUAUGAUGGCGUGGUAGAACUGAACUGCAUAGUGUUCCCCGAGUCGCGAACAUUUAAGGGUAUAGAACACCCUGAGGGUUUUAUUGCUACAGACAAUCGCUAUAUGCUUCCUUACGAUCAGGAAGUUUUUGGCGGACUUAAAUGGCCCCGUAAAUAAGACGAUUUUGGAAAUGAAUAUACGAAGACAAAAUCAACGGUAAGUCGCACUUUUGCGAACGACAUGAGAAAAGACCUGUUUAUAUCGAGAUCCACUUUUUCAGGCAAUUUUAAACAAGUGGGAUGGAAACUGGACCAUGUCAUCCAAAUUUGAUGAGCAAGCAUCGUAGUUAGACUGCUUACCUUAUAUUUACAUUGAUUAUAUUGUUACUCUUAAACUAUUUUACAAAUAACCCAACAUUUAACCUACUGCAAAUAUUAAAAAAUAAACAUCUCUGGAAAACAUA
Molecule: long non-coding RNA, 3088 nt
Organism: Uranotaenia lowii
Lineage: Eukaryota; Metazoa; Arthropoda; Insecta; Diptera; Culicidae
Exons: 2
Source: RefSeq, a predicted model, not a curated record